Molecule: transfer RNA, 76 nt
Filed under: Nocardia camponoti
Lineage: Bacteria; Bacillati; Actinomycetota; Actinomycetes; Mycobacteriales; Nocardiaceae
Description: tRNA-Asp
Source: RNAcentral
ACGGUUGGUGCCGGGGAUUCCGCGCUGGCUGGGUAUCUGCUCGCCGACGUCGCGGGUGCGAGUCCUGCCGAUCGAC